UGGGGAAUAUUGCACAAUGGGCGCAAGCCUGAUGCAGCCAUGCCGCGUGUAUGAAGAAGGCCUUCGGGUUGUAAAGCACUUUCAGCGGGGAGGAAGGCGUUAAGGUUAAUAACCUUGGCGAUUGACGUUACCCGCAGAAGAAGCACCGGCUAACUCCGUGCCAGCAGCCGCGGUAAUACGGAGGGUGCAAGCGUUAAUCGGAAUUACUGGGCGUAAAGCGCACGCAGGCGGUCUGUCAAGUCGGAUGUGAAAUCCCCGGGCUCAACCUGGGAUCUGCAUUCGAAACUGGCAGGCUAGAGUCUUGUAGAGGGGGGUAGAAUUCCAGGUGUAGCGGUGAAAUGCGUAGAGAUCUGGAGGAAUACCGGUGGCGAAGGCGGCCCCCUGGACAAAGACUGACGCUCAGGUGCGAAAGCGUGGGGAGCAAACAGG
This 429-nucleotide ribosomal RNA is filed under the name Chloroflexota bacterium. RNAcentral's name for it is "Chloroflexi bacterium partial 16S ribosomal RNA". It matches the Rfam family "Bacterial small subunit ribosomal RNA", at positions 355 to 776 of the family's 1533-position model. Lineage: Bacteria; Bacillati; Chloroflexota. The record is from RNAcentral.